GCGACCAGAUGACUAAAGAAGUGUGAUUCUUAGUGUGAAUAAUAUGUGUUUGAAACUCUGAGGUCCAA
RNAcentral lists this small nucleolar RNA (68 nucleotides) under Otolemur garnettii (small-eared galago). Its description in RNAcentral is "Small nucleolar RNA SNORD113/SNORD114 family (ENSOGAG00000023086.1)". Lineage: Eukaryota; Metazoa; Chordata; Mammalia; Primates; Galagidae. The record is from RNAcentral.